UUUAUGGAGAGUUUGAUCCUGGCUCAGGAUGAACGCUGGCGGCGUGCCUAAUACAUGCAAGUCGAGCGAACAGAUAAGGAGCUUGCUCCUUUGACGUUAGCGGCGGACGGGUGAGUAACACGUGGGUAACCUACCUAUAAGACUGGAAUAACUCCGGGAAACCGGAGCUAAUGCCGGAUAACAUGUUGAACCGCAUGGUUCUACAGUGAAAGACGGUCUUGCUGUCACUUAUAGAUGGACCCGCGCCGUAUUAGCUAGUUGGUGGGGUAACGGC
Molecule: ribosomal RNA, 274 nt
Filed under: Staphylococcus pseudintermedius
Lineage: Bacteria; Bacillati; Bacillota; Bacilli; Caryophanales; Staphylococcaceae
Description: partial 16S ribosomal RNA
Rfam family: Bacterial small subunit ribosomal RNA
Source: RNAcentral